RNAcentral lists this ribosomal RNA (434 nucleotides) under uncultured Lachnospiraceae bacterium. Its description in RNAcentral is "partial 16S ribosomal RNA". It matches the Rfam family "Bacterial small subunit ribosomal RNA", at positions 341 to 792 of the family's 1533-position model. Lineage: Bacteria; Bacillati; Bacillota; Clostridia; Lachnospirales; Lachnospiraceae. The record is from RNAcentral.
ACGGGAGGCAGCAGUGGGGAAUAUUGCACAAUGGGGGACACCCUGAUGCAGCAACGCCGCGUGAGUGAAGAAGUAUUUCGGUAUGUAAAGCUCUAUCAGCAGGGAAGAUGAUGACGGUACCUGACUAAGAAGCCCCGGCUAACUACGUGCCAGCAGCCGCGGUAAUACGUAGGGGGCAAGCGUUAUCCGGAUUUACUGGGUGUAAAGGGAGCGUAGGCGGUCAGACAAGUCAGAUGUGAAAGCCCGGGGCUCAACUCCGGGACUGCAUUUGAAACUGUAGGACUAGAGUACUGGAGAGGCAAGCGGAAUUCCUAGUGUAGCGGUGAAAUGCGUAGAUAUUAGGAAGAACACCGGUGGCGAAGGCGGCUUGCUGGACAGAGACUGACGCUGAGGCUCGAAAGCGUGGGGAGCAAACAGGAUUAGAUACCCUGGUA